GAUAAGGAAAUGGAGGGUAUUUGACUCCCUUUGUCAUGACUUUAUUGUGGCAUUGGCAAAUGAGUUUUUGAUCCACUGGAGGCUGGAGCUAUGUAACCCGUACCCACAAAACGAAAGCUCUGUUCACAUAUGCUGUCUUAAAAUCACUUUUGCUUGGGAAGAUCCUCCACUGUACAAGCCUAAAUUAGCUGACUGAGUAUUAGUUCAUUCAUUGUACCCAAAGAUGAUCCCUGUAAGUUACUCCCUCCGUUUCAAUUAGUUCGUCUUAACUUUUUAUUCCGUUUAAA
This is a long non-coding RNA of Solanum tuberosum (potato), 287 nucleotides long. RefSeq lists it as uncharacterized. The transcript has 2 exons. The record is from RefSeq and is a predicted model, not a curated record. Lineage: Eukaryota; Viridiplantae; Streptophyta; Magnoliopsida; Solanales; Solanaceae.